RNAcentral lists this ribosomal RNA (492 nucleotides) under uncultured bacterium. RNAcentral describes it as "partial 16S ribosomal RNA". It matches the Rfam family "Bacterial small subunit ribosomal RNA", at positions 29 to 507 of the family's 1533-position model. The record is from RNAcentral.
AGUGAACGCUGGCGGUAGGCCUAGCACAUGCAAGUCGAACGGCAGCACAGUAAGAGCUUGCUCUUACGGGUGGCGAGUGGCGGACGGGUGAGGAAUACAUCGGAAUCUACUUUUUCGUGGGGGAUAACGUAGGGAAACUUACGCUAAUACCGCAUACGACCUACGGGUGAAAGCAGGGGAUCUUCGGACCUUGCGCGAUUGAAUGAGCCGAUGUCGGAUUAGCUAGUUGGCGGGGUAAAGGCCCACCAAGGCGACGAUCCGUAGCUGGUCUGAGAGGAUGAUCAGCCACACUGGAACUGAGACACGGUCCAGACUCCUACGGGAGGCAGCAGUGGGGAAUAUUGGACAAAGGGCGCAAGCCUGAUCCAGCCAUACCGCGUGGGUGAAGAAGGCCUUCGGGUUGUAAAGCCCUUUUGUUGGGAAAGAAAAGCAGCAGGUUAAUACCCCGCUGUUCUGACGGUACCCAAAGAAUAAGCACCGGCUAACUUCGUG